This is an RNA transcript of Hippopotamus amphibius kiboko, 3284 nucleotides long. It is a transcript of the gene named collagen alpha-1(III) chain-like, with no coding region annotated. The transcript is spliced from 2 exons. NCBI's taxonomy places the organism in Eukaryota, Metazoa, Chordata, Mammalia, Artiodactyla, Hippopotamidae. The record is from RefSeq and is a predicted model, not a curated record.
CUCACAGCUCCCGAGCUUUCAGACUGCGCCGGGCGCCUGGCGAGGAGCUGCGGGUUAGAAUCUGCCCCUCACCCUGUGGAAACGGUUCAGUCGGAACCUCUGCUGGUUCUUUUCCUUCUUAAAGCUCGUACUAUUCAGAGAAGUAAAAGAAAAAGAGAAAGACGUUCCCAUUUCCUGUACCAGACGUGGCUUUAAAUGAAGACACUGCGAAGCAGCGGAGCGGACUGACAUCGUCCGGGUUGGGUGUACCUGGUGCAGGCGAUGGGGACCCCCCCCCCGUUAUGUCACAGGCGUUCUCUGUGGAGGCUCCCUCUUCAUCACCCCUUCCCCCCUGCCUGGCAGGGCUCCAACACCACCCCGGAGGCUCGCGGAACCGGGCCGCAGACAAAGCCGCAAUUCUAAGGAGCCUGGCUGGGGCAGGACGUCUCCUUCUAGAACACUGGCCAGACGCGGCCAGAACUGGGGCAAGAAAAGCCUUCUGUGGCCUCAGCUCUGCCCAAGGGAGAGGGCGAGGGCCGGGGGCGCUGGCCCGGGUCCCUGCGCGGCUUCCAGGCCGCACUCACCUCCCACUCCGUGCUGCUCGCCAGGCAGGGAGGCCCAGGCGCUCCGAAGCACACGGCCGAGCCGGGGGACGCCGGGGACCCGGCUUCUCCGUCGGGCAGGAAGCACCUUCCGGUGCCUCCACCUUUCAACUGAGAUGUGUCACCGGCGGCAACCACUGUUGUCCGGGGACCGGGUGGCUGUCACGUGCGGCUCGCAGGCUCCCGGCUUACGUCCUGCGGCCGCUCCGGCCGGCUGCCCCGCGCCCCCAGACGCGAGCCGGACCCGCUCAGGGACCCACGAAGGCCAAGAAAAUCCCCACCGCAGCAGAGGAAGGGGCAGGGGCACUUGUACACGCGACGUGAGGCGUCUAUAAAACCUGUUGUGCAAGUUAGGGGGACCGUCGGGGUAAACGUCAAACCGGUCCAUCCUCGUUCCUGAGAGCGGGAGGAUGCGGGGCGCGGGCGGAUGCGCCGACCGCACCCCGCCCCCAGCCCGGCCCCCGGAGCGGGUCGCCCGCGGGGGUGCGGGGGCCGAGGGCGCGGGCGCCGCCGGCUGCCGACCUACCUGCACCGGCUGCUGGAGGCCAUUCCUCCGCCCGAGGGGCCCCCCCACCCCCCGCCCCAUCCCGGGCUCACCUGCUCGGCGGGGCAAAGGGCGCGCGCGGAGAUCCGGGCGCGGGGUCCGGGGCGGGGGUCCAGGCGCGGGGAUCCGGGUCGGGGAUCCGGCUCUGGGGUCCGGGGCGGGGCGGCGUCUCCGCCGCAGCCCGACGCACAGGAAGGGCGGGCGCCGCGGGCUCGCGGGAGCGGGGCGGCUCGGCGGGCCUGCGCGCCUCGGGGAUGGCCCGGCUCCCACCUGCGGCGCCUUUUAACCGCGCCCCACCCCGCCUCCGGCCUGACGCUGGGCGGGCGGGAGGCGCGCCGCGGGCGCGGGGGGAUCGCGGGGCGCGGGGCGCGCGGGGCGGGCUGCGUUGGUGCCGGACGCGGCCGCCCUCCCCCGGCCCGCCGGGUGCCUCGCGCGCCCCUCGGAGAGCAGCCUGCAGGCCCGGGGCUGCGGGGCUCUAUUCACCGCGGCCACGUCGCGGAGGUGAAGCGUUAUUGGUCACGCCGGUCCCCUGCCACCCCUCCAGCGGAGGCCGAGCGGGCCUCCCUCGGCCAGCCCCGCCUCGCCGGCGUAGACCCUGCCGGCGCCCCCUCCCACCCACGGGUGGGCUCUGAGCGCCCAGGGCCGCCCCAGGCAGGGGCUGCAGGCCAGCGGGGUGGGAAGGUUGGGAGCCGCACAGGGACCCGGCUUUAGGGGUCCGGACCUGCCCCACGUCAGACUGGAGGUGUGUGUCUUGCUUAUUCCACGAAAUGGGUGGGUAACUGAGUCCCCCGAAGCGACGCUGCUGCGGGGGCCUCUUCUGGAAGGCACAGGGCUGCGGGUGAUGAUUGAGAUGUGUCUUCAGCGUUGCAGAAGAGGAAACAAGACUUUACAGAGAUCCUUCUGCCUAAAUAUUUUGAGGAGAAGGAGGUUCUCAGAGAAUUGUCCCUGAAACAGAGAGGCACCGGGCAGGGUCCUCGUCGGGUGGACACAGCACAUGCCGCUCCGGGCGGCUUUGCGUCUCAACUGGCACAGCCCGGCCGACACAGCAGCUGGCCCUGGAGAUGGCUCCUGCUGCCGAGGCAGGACCACCCGCGUUCCGUGUCCUGUGGCGGGCUCCACGCGACACCGCCUGAGCGGUUAUGCUCUGGACCAAGGCCCCUGUUCCGGGGCGGUAGCCUGGAACUAGAGGUAGCCUUAGGUUUGGUGAUGAGGUGAUGACUUUUUAGCUACAACGCCAAGGAAAUGCAAAGUAAAACAGCAACGAGAUACCACGACACACCUAUUCAAAUGUCUAAGAUCCCAAACCAUGAAAAGUCCAAGUGCUGGGGAGGGUGUGGGGAACAGGAACUCUCACUCGCUGCUGGUGGGAAUUCAGAUUUACAGCCGCUUUGGAAGACAGUUUGGCUGUUUCUUACAGAGCUAGUCCUACCAUACGGUCCAGCCAUCGUGCUCGUCGGUACCUACCCAAAGGAGCUGAAAACUUACGUCCACGUGAAAACCUGCCCACGCAUGUUUACAGCACUUUCAUUCAUAAUUGUCAAAACUGGAAGCACCCAAGAUGUCCUUCGGUAGGUGAUGGACGAAUAAACCGUGGUGCAGCCAGACAAUGGAAUAUUAUUUAGUGAUACAGAGACAUGAACUAUGGAGCUAUGGAAAGUCAUGGAGGAAACUUAGGUGCAUGUGACUAAGUGAAAGAAGCCCGUCUGAAAAGGCUACAUACAGCGUGAUUCCACCUAUGUGAUAUUCUGGAAAAGGCAAGGCUGUGGAGACGGCAAACGGAGCAGUGGUGGCCGGGAGCUGGGUGGCUGGAGGGAUGGACAGAUGGAGCACAGAGGAGUUUUAGGGCAGCCUGCUCUGCAUGAGGCUGUAAUGCUGCGUACACAUCAUCUUACAUUUGUCCGAACCCGGAGAAAAAGUACGCCACCAAGCGGGAACCCCGGUGCACACCACAGAUUCCAGGCGAUGCUGAUGUGUCCGUGCAGGCUCACCUGCCAGAACAAGGGUACCAUCUGUCGGGGAUGCUGGUAGUGGGAGAAACUGUGUAGGAGGCGGUGGUGUGUGGGAACCCAAUAUACUUUCUGCUCAGUUGUUUUUUUUUUUGUAAACCUAGAACUACUCUAACAAAUAAAGUCUGUUAAUUAAAAACUGAAUAAAGUAAA